UUGGAAGCGAAGAAAGAGCGUAUGGGGGAUGCCUUGGCUCCCGGAGGCGACGAAGGACGUGGUAAAGCGCGAAAAGCAACGGGGAGGUGCAAACGACCUUUGAUCCGUUGAUGUCCGAAUGGGGCAACCCGACACGUUGAAGACGUGUAGACCAAGAGUCGCAAACCCGCUGAACUGAAACAUCUAAGUAGGCGGAGGAAAAGAAAACAAGUAGUGAUUCCGUAAGUAGUGGCGAGCGAACGCGGAAGAGGCCAAACCUAUGGGCGUGCCCAUAGGGGGUUGUGGGACUGCGCUGUGGAAGAUGUAUGUUUAGUUGAAAUCCAUGGAAAGGGGUACCGCAGAGGGUGAAAGUCCCGUAAGCGAAAAGCAUACAUUACCUAGCAGGAUCCUGAGUAGGGCGAGGCCGGUGAAACCUUGUCUGAAUCUACCAGCACCACGGGAGACCGAUAGCGAACCAGUACCGUAAGGGAAAGGUGAAAAGAACCCUAAGAAAGGGAGUGAAAAGACUCUGAAACCAUACGCUUACAAGCGGUCGGAGUCCCCCCGAGAACUCGGGGGGGUGACGGCGUGCCUUUUGCAUAAUGAGCCUACGAGUUAUACCUCACUGGCAGCCUAAGUACUUCAGGUACGGAAGCGAAGCGAAAGCGAGUCUUAACAGGGCGAAACGAGUCAGUGGGGAUAGACGCGAAACCGAGUGAUCUAUCCAUGGGCAGGUUGAAGGUCCGAUAAUCUCGGACUGGAGGACCGAACUGGUAAGGGUUGAAAACCUUUCGGAUGACCUGUGGAUAGGGGUGAAAGGCCAAUCAAACUCGGAGAUGGCUCGUACUCCCCGAAAUGCAUUUAGGUGCAGCGUUGGACGAAUGUGUGUUGGAGGUAAAGCUACUGAAAAGGCUAGGGGGCUUCACCGCCUACCAACCCUUAACAAACUCUGAAUGCCAACACAUAGUACCAGCAGUGAGCCCCGGGGUGCGAAGGUCACGGGGCGAGAGGGGAACAACCCAGACCAACAGUUAAGGUCCCUAAAUCAUGGUUAAGUUGCGUUAAACGAGGUGGGAAUGCACAGACAGCUAGGAUGUUUGCUUGGAAGCAGCAAUUCAUUUAAAGAGUGCGUAACAGCUCACUAGUCGAGCGUUCCUGCGCGGAAAAUAAACGGGCAUCAAACCAUGUACCGAAACUUUGGAUUCGAAAGAGUGGUAGGGGAGCAUUCUGUAGCGUUGAAGCCGGAUCGUGAGGUUUGGUGGAGUUAACAGAAAAGCAAAUGUAGGCAUAAGUAACGAUAAAUGACGUGGAAAACGUCAUCGCCGAAAGACUAAGGGUUCCUAGAUCUACGUUACUCGGAUCAGGGUGAGCCGGGACCUAAGGAUAAGCCGAGAGGUGAAGCCGAUGGCAAGCGGGUUAAUAUUCCUGCGCCUGCUAUACAAGAAAGUGACGCAUCGACGUGGUGGACAGGUUCUGACGGAAUAGAGCCUCUGAGCCAAUCUCUUCGGGGAGCGGCGAGUUCAUAAAAUUGGUGCCAGGAAAAGCGAGUAUAGCAGCCCGUACCGCAAACCGACACAGGUAGUCGAGGAGAGGAUCCUCAGGCGCUCGAGUGAUUCGUGGCUAAGGAACUAGGCAAAAUGGUCUCGUAACUUCGGGAGAAGAGACGCUCCGAGCAAUCAGAGCCGCAGUGAAGAGGCCCAGGCGACUGUUUAGCAAAAACACAGGGCUAUGCGAAAUCGAAAGAUGAGGUAUAUGGCCUGACACCUGCCCGGUGCCGGAAGGUUAAGGAAGGGGCUCACCCCGAGCAAUCGGGGGAAGGUCUUAACUGAAGCCCCGGUAAACGGCGGCCGUAACUAUAACGGUCCUAAGGUAGCGGAAAUUCCUUGUCGGGUAAGUUCCGACCUGCACGAAUGGUGUAACGAUCUGGGCACUGUCUCAGCCACGAAGCCGGUGAAAUUGAAGUAUCGGUGAAGAUGCCGAUUACCCGCAACGGGACGGAAAGACCCCGUGAACCUUUACUCGGCUUUUGCAUUGGGCUUGACUUGUUGAUGCGUAGGAUAGGUGGGAGGCAAUGAUCCGGCGGUUCUGGCCGUCGGGGAGUCGACGUUGAAAUACCACCCUUUGGCUAGUUGAGUCCUAACCCCGAGCACUCGGGGGACAUUGCAUGGUGGGUAGUUUGACUGGGGUGGUCACCUCCUAAAGAGUAACGGAGGUUUGCAAAGGUACCCUCAGCAUGGACGGUAAUCAUGCGAAGAGCGUAUUAGUAUAAGGGUGCUUGACUGAGAGACCGACGGGUCGAUCAGGGUCGAAAGACGGCUAAAGUGAUCCGGUGGUUCCGCAUGGAAGGGCCAUCGCUCAAAGGAUAAAAGGUACUCCGGGGAUAACAGGCUGAUCUCCCCAAGGCCAUAUCGACGGGGAGGUUUGGCACCUCGAUGUCGGCUCGUCGCAUCCUGGGGCUGGAGAAGGUCCCAAGGGUUGGGCUGUUCGCCCAUUAAAGCGGCACGUGGCUGGGUUCAGAACGUCGCAAGACAGUUCGGUCCCUAUCUGUUGUGGGCGCAGGAAGAUUGAAGAGACCUGACACUAGUACGAGAGGACCGUGUUGGACGAACCGCUUGUGUAUCGGUUGUGCCGCCAGGUGCAGCGCCGAGUAGCAAUGUUCGGCCGGGAUAAGCGCUGAAAGCAUCUAAGCGCGAAGCCUACUCUGAGAUGAAUCUUCCGAUUAAGGGUCGUAGGAGACGACUACGUUGAUAGGCGACAGGUGGAAGUGUGGUGACAUGUUGAGCCGAGUCGUACUAAUAACCCGUAAGCUUCCAUUU
RNAcentral lists this ribosomal RNA (2795 nucleotides) under Saprospirales bacterium. RNAcentral describes it as "23S ribosomal RNA". It matches the Rfam family "Bacterial large subunit ribosomal RNA". Lineage: Bacteria; Pseudomonadati; Bacteroidota; Saprospiria; Saprospirales. The record is from RNAcentral.